RNAcentral lists this ribosomal RNA (279 nucleotides) under uncultured bacterium. RNAcentral describes it as "partial 16S ribosomal RNA". It matches the Rfam family "Bacterial small subunit ribosomal RNA", at positions 506 to 784 of the family's 1533-position model. The record is from RNAcentral.
UGCCAGCCGCCGCGGUAAUACGGAGGGUGCAAGCGUUAUCCGGAAUCACUGGGUUUAAAGGGUGCGUAGGUGGCACGAUAAGUCAGAGGUGAAAGCCCGGCGCUCAACGUCGGAAUUGCCUUUGAUACUGUUGUGCUUGAAUCAGGUUGAGGUAGGCGGAAUGUGGCAUGUAGCGGUGAAAUGCAUAGAUAUGCCAUAGAACACCAAUUGCGAAGGCAGCUUACUGGACCUGCAUUGACACUGAGGCACGAAAGCGUGGGGAGCGAACAGGAUUAGAUA